This is a long non-coding RNA of Gekko japonicus, 399 nucleotides long. RefSeq lists it as uncharacterized. Lineage: Eukaryota; Metazoa; Chordata; Lepidosauria; Squamata; Gekkonidae. The transcript is spliced from 3 exons. The record is from RefSeq and is a predicted model, not a curated record.
UCGGCUCCCUCCGGCUUGGGUUGCUGCGAGUGGCAGAGGCACCUGGGCCGGGAGAAGGCGGACAGGAGAAGAUCGGACGGCAGGCUGGGGCCGGAGCUCAGGAAACAAAGUUAUACAAAAGAAACCCUGAUUUUGUGGCUACAAAUAAAUCUAUAAAGCAUCCUGAGCCUGAUAGGAAAUGAAAGAAAUACCUCUGUAGUGACCCUCACAGAAACCAGUGGGAGUAUUUCCAACAAUCCAACACUUUGAUUAUAUGAAAGAGCUGGGUUGCCUAACAGGCAGCAGCCUUGGCUGUCCAGGAAGAAUGAGAAGGCGUGUGCCCGUUUAUCUGGUGGUUCUCCUUGUGGCCUCAUCAGUGGGAUACCCCUCCAGACGUUCUGCAAUGGACUUGGACGCAAC